UUGCCAACCCCAGGCCAGGCGGAAUACCCGCUGAAUUUAAACCUUUCAUAAGCCGGAAGAAA
This 62-nucleotide ribosomal RNA is filed under the name Citrus reticulata (mandarin orange). RNAcentral describes it as "partial large subunit ribosomal RNA". Lineage: Eukaryota; Viridiplantae; Streptophyta; Magnoliopsida; Sapindales; Rutaceae. The record is from RNAcentral.